UCGGGAAUCUUGCACAAUGGGCGAAAGCCUGAUGCAGCAACGCCGUGUGAGCGAGGAAGGUCUUCGGAUCGUAAAGCUCUGUUGUUGGGGACGAAGGGCGAAGGGUUAAUAGCCCCUAGCCUGACGGUACCCUUCGAGGAAGCCCCGGCUAACUACGUGCCAGCAGCCGCGGUAAUACGUAGGGGGCGAGCGUUGUCCGGAAUUAUUGGGCGUAAAGCGUCCGCAGGUGGCUCAUCAAGUCUGCUGUCAAAGAGCGAAGCUUAACUUCGCAAAGGCAGUGGAAACUGGCGAGCUAGAGUAUGGUAGGGGUAGAGGGAAUUCCCAGUGUAGCGGUGAAAUGCGUAGAGAUUGGGAAGAACAUCGGUGGCGAAAGCGCUCUACUGGGCCAUAACUGACACUCAGGGACGAAAGCUAAGGUAGCGAAUGGGAUUAGAUACCCCCGUAGUCC
This 448-nucleotide ribosomal RNA is filed under the name uncultured prokaryote. RNAcentral's name for it is "bacterial SSU rRNA". It matches the Rfam family "Bacterial small subunit ribosomal RNA", at positions 355 to 796 of the family's 1533-position model. The record is from RNAcentral.